This 1034-nucleotide ribosomal RNA is filed under the name Corallobothrium solidum. RNAcentral's name for it is "eukaryotic LSU rRNA". It matches the Rfam family "Eukaryotic large subunit ribosomal RNA", at positions 62 to 623 of the family's 3401-position model. The record is from RNAcentral. Lineage: Eukaryota; Metazoa; Platyhelminthes; Cestoda; Proteocephalidea; Proteocephalidae.
GAACUAACCAGGAUUCCCCUAGUAACGGCGAGUGAAGAGGGAGAAGCCCAGCACCGAAGCCUGCGGCAGCUUUGCUGUUAGGCAAUGUGGUGUUUGGGUCGGCUCGUGGGACUACCGCUCCACUCGAAGUCCAGCAUUGAGUAUGGUUACUGGAUUUGGCCCAGAGAGGGUGAAAGGCCCGUACGGGUGGAGUAUCAGACAUGUGAGGUGGUUCACCAGGUCGACCUUAGAGUCGGGUUGUUUGGGAAUGCAGCCCAAAGCGGGUGGUAAACUCCAUCCAAGGCUAAAUACUAGCACGAGUCCGAUAGCGAACAAGUACCGUGAGGGAAAGUUGAAAAGUACUCUGAAGAGAGAGUAAACAGUACGUGAAACCGCAUGCAGGUAAACGGGUGGCGUCAAGCUGCAAGCCCGGAGAAUUCAGUCGGCUAGGGUGUUGUGUAUGCGCCUGGCGCAUCCAUCAGUCAGAGUAUGAUUGGGUAGUCCACCAGUAAACGGUGGGCCUGGCCGCUAGUUGGUCAGGAUGUGUGUACCGGGUGGAUGCCGGAGCAUGCUAUCCGUCUGUGGACUGUCUAGCCGGUGCACUUUCUCCGUGGUCAACACCACGACCGGUGGUAUUGCCAGUCUACUGUGUCCAAGUCGUACUUGGUGGGUCCUCGCGGCCUACUGGGUGCGAUCACAGGCAAACUCAGUGAACGGCGCAGUGGUGUUUCGGCACUUUUGCGUGCUAUCGGCUGCUGGUUGCCAACGGGCCUGCCUAGUGUUUGUUGCUACUAACACGGGGUGGUCCGGUGGGGCAUGGUGGUAAGAAUAACUGUGCAAGGCACCGGGGUUGUCGGCCUCAAAUGCGUCCUGCGCACACGUAGCAAGUGGUUAUCGGCGGUGUCGCGGCUGCCUGCUCGGUGCUGGGUGUGAUUGGCGUGUCGCCUGCGCAAAGUAGGCCCGCUGAUGGCUCGGCCCGAGGUGGGUAGUUGUUGUUGGCGGUGGCUGUCGGUGUGGGACGUGGUGGGCCAAAUAGUCUGUGGUGUAGUGGUAGU